UACGUAGGUGACAAGCGUUGUCCGGAUUUACUGGGCGUAAAGAGCGCGCAGGCGGUCGUUCAAGUCGAGUGUGAAAGCCCCCGGCUCAACUGGGGAGGGUCACUCGAUACUGAUCGACUCGAAGGCAGGAGAGGGUAGUGGAAUUCCUGGUGUAGCGGUGAAAUGCGCAGAUAUCAGGAGGAACACCGAUGGCGAAGGCAGGUCUCUGGGCCGAUACUGACGCUGAGGAGCGAAAGCGUGGGGAGCGAACAGG
RNAcentral lists this ribosomal RNA (253 nucleotides) under uncultured bacterium. RNAcentral describes it as "partial 16S ribosomal RNA". It matches the Rfam family "Bacterial small subunit ribosomal RNA", at positions 524 to 776 of the family's 1533-position model. The record is from RNAcentral.